GGAGGGGGCUAGCGUUGUUCGGAAUUACUGGGCGUAAAGCGCGCGUAGGCGGGCUGGUCAGUUGGGGGUGAAAUCCCGAGGCUCAACCUCGGAACUGCCCCCAAUACUACCAGUCUUGAGUUCGAGAGAGGUGAGUGGAAUUCCUAGUGUAGAGGUGAAAUUCGUAGAUAUUAGGAAGAACACCAGUGGCGAAGGCGGCUCACUGGCUCGAUACUGACGCUGAGGCGCGAAAGCGUGGGGAGCAAACAGGAUUAGAUACCCUGGUAGUCCACGCCGUAAACGAUGGGUGCUAGUUGUCGGGCGGCAUGCCGUUCGGUGACGCAGCUAACGCGUUAAGCACCCCGCCUGGGGGACUACGGUCGCAAGACUA
Molecule: ribosomal RNA, 370 nt
Filed under: uncultured organism
Description: partial 16S ribosomal RNA
Rfam family: Bacterial small subunit ribosomal RNA
Source: RNAcentral